Molecule: ribosomal RNA, 49 nt
Filed under: Ilyonectria sp.
Lineage: Eukaryota; Fungi; Ascomycota; Sordariomycetes; Hypocreales; Nectriaceae
Description: partial 28S ribosomal RNA
Source: RNAcentral
GGUUGACCUCGGAUCAGGUAGGAAUACCCGCUGAACUUAAGCAUAUCAU